CCCGGUAGGCGGAGGGCGACUUCCGGCAAUAAAGCUCGGCGCCGCCGUCAGGUGGGGCCCGAGGGCGUCUGCACUCCCGCGGGGACUGAGGCGGCGCGCGCUCCAGGUGGGGACGGCGAACCCCCAGCCUUCCCCGCGCCAGGAGAACUAUGCCAUUUUUGGGUCAGGACUGGAGAUCUCCUGGAUGGAGCUGGAUUAAGACAGAAGAUGGUUGGAAGCGAUGCGAAUCCUGGAGUCGGGACCUGGAGAGAGAGAAUAACCCGCGUGCUCUCACUCACAGCGUUAUCUUAAAUAGUGACGAUGAAGAAAUAUUCAGUAACGAAGAGCAGGAAUACACGUCCAAAAAGAGGAAAAAGGAUCAUUUUAGAAAUGAUACAAAUGCUCAAUGUUUUUAUCGUGAGAAAUGGAUCUAUGUCCAUAAAGAAAGCACGAGAGAAAGGCACGGCUACUGUACUCUGGGAGAGGCUUUCAACCGCUUAGACUUCUCGAGUGCAAUUCAGGACAUUCGGAGAUUCACUUACGUGGUCAAACUCCUGCAGCUGAUUGCGAAAUCCCAGUUAACGUCACUGAGCGGCGUGGCGCAGAAGAACUACUUCAACGUUUUGGACAAAAUUGUCCAGAAGGUCCUUGACGACCACCAGAACCCCCGGCUCAUCAAGGACCUCCUCCAGGACCUGAGCUCCACCCUCUGCAUCCUCCUCCGGGGUGUCGGGAAGUCCGUGCUGGUGGGAAACAUCAACAUCUGGGUCUGCCGUCUGGAGACCGUGCUCCGCUGGCAGGAGCAGCUGCAGGACCUGCAGGUCACUAAGGUGAACAACGGCCUCACACUCAGUGACCUCCCUUUGCAUAUGCUCAACAACAUCUUGUACAGAUUCUCCGAUGGCUGGGACAUCGUCACGCUGGGCCAGGUGACGCCAACACUGUCCAUGCUCAGUGAGGACAGGCGUCUGUGGAAGAAACUCUGUCAGUACCACUUCGCCGAGAAGCAGUUCUGCAGGCACCUGAUUGUGUCGGAGAAGGGCCAUGUGGAGUGGAAGCUGAUGUACUUCGCGCUACAGAAGCACUACCCGCCGCGGGAGCAGUAUGGGGACACGCUGCACUUCUGCCGCCAUUGCAGCAUCCUCUUCUGGAAGAGGCAAAGGCCCCCCACGAUAACCCGCCGUCACACGGACUCUGCUGCUUGCCCCACAGUGACCAGCAGGAGGCCAUGCUGUCCUCUGAAAACCAGUCUGAAGAGGCAGAAGAUCCCGUGUUUAUGAAAUACAACUUGAAUUCCUCCGUGAACCCUGUGCGGGUGCGUGCCUGACCCCACCCCUCCCCCGUGGUCCUGCCUCAUGUGUCAGACGCUGCCUAGUGACAGGCCCGACGGCUUGCACAGGGUACCAGGAAGGCCAUUAGGAUCUGCCUGUCCUGGGUGCUCACCUGUCCCCAUUAGACACUAACUUCCCAGCUCCCGCCCUCAGCUCCCGCCACCUCCUGUUGCGGUGGAGAAUCUGACUACCCUGGAUGCAGGAUGUCCCGGAAUCAUCUGGCACUUGGCCUUUUGUGACCGGCUUGUUUCACUGAAAGUCAUGUCCUCAGGGUCCACGCACGCCGUGGCCCGUCUCAGGAUUUCCUGACUGCUCAGGGCUGAGCCGUGUUCUGUUGCCCAGGCGGACCACAGCUUGUCUGUGGGACACUGCUGUGAACAAGGGUGUGCCCGUAUCUCUCCUCUCUCUGCUUUCCCUCCCGUUGGAUAAACACCCAGAAGCAGAAUCGGUGCGUCAGAUGCUCAUUCCAUGCUGCUCUCAUUAUUAGGAGAUCCUGAACGACGUUCCGCAGACCCGCAGUCUGCAUCCCAGCAGCAGCGCGGUGCCUCUCUCUCCACGUUCUCGCCAACACUGUUUUGGGGCAGUCACCAUUCAGUGACAGUUCUAACAGGCGCGAGGUGGUGUCUCCUGCGGGUCUGGGUUUCUGUCCCCUUGGUGAUUAGUGGUCUGGAGCCCCUUCUCGUGUGUCCAUUGGCCAUCUGUCUGUCGUAUUUGGAAAGAUGUCUGUUCAAGUCCUGUGCCCAUUUCUUUGUUGUGUGUUUUUACUGUUGAGUUGCAUGAGUUCCCUGUCUAUUCUAGAUACUAACUUCUUACAGGCAUACGAGUGGAAGAUGUGCUCCCCUAUUGUGCGGGUUGCCUUUUCACUGUUGUGUCCCUGAUGAGUGCAGGUAUCAGUUUGAUGGAGCCCAUUUCCCUUUUUCCCAGCGUUGGCUGACCUUUUCAUCUCCUGAGAGAUCAUUGACAAACCUAAGGUCAUGAAACUUUCUGCUUUUGCCCAGAACUUUUACAGUUUUAUUUAGCUUUUACAUUUAGGCGUUUGGACCACUGAGGUCAUACUUGUGUAUGGUGUAAGGUAAGGCCCAACUUCAUUCCUCACAUGUGGACGUCCAGUUUUCUCACCACCAUUUGCUGAAAACACUGCCCUUUCCCCCACUGAAUGGUGUUGGCACCUUUGUUGAAAAUCAUGAUUGUAUAUGUGAUAGUGUGUUUCCAAGCUCUGUGUCUCGUCCCAUUGGUCUGUGUGUCUCUGUGUGUUCUUACGCUAGGACAAAACUAUUUUCAUUACUGUAGCUUCAUAGUGAGUUCUGAAAUCAGGAUAUGUCAGUCCUCUGACUUUAUUCUUUUUUAGGAUUGUUUUGGCUAUUUGAGAUCCCUUGAAAGUCCAUGUAAAUUUUAGGAUUUUUUCUAUUUCUGCAAAAACCACUAGAUUUUGAUGAGUGCAUUUAAUCUAUAAAUCACCUUGGGUGGUGGUGUCAUCAUAAGUCAUACAGCCACAGGCAUGGUGGGUUUUCCAAUUUGUCUGUGUCUGCUCUAAUGGCUUUAAGCCACGUUCUAGUUCUCAGCGUACGAUAAUUCAGCCUCUAUGGCUGAGUUUAUUCCUAACUAUUUUAUUCAUUGUUGCUGUUGUAAAUGAGAUUUUCUUAAUUUCCCUUUGCAGUUUCUCAAUGUUCAUGUAUAAAAACACAGCUGUUGUUUUUAUAUUGAUUUUGUAUCCUGCAACUUUCCUAAGCAUGCCUAUUCUGCUUUUUAGUGGUGGCUUUGGUUUUCUUGGAUUUUUUUUUGGGGGGGGGGUAGAAUCUUCAGUGUUCUCUGCAAAUAAAAUCGUAUCAUUCAUAAGUAGUUAUACUUUUUAGAGUUGGGAUGCCUUUUAGUUUUCUUGCCUAAUUGCUGUGACGAGGACUUCUAGUACGAUGUGUAUGUAAUAGGAGUGGUGAGAGUGGACUUUCUCAUCUCAUUCCUGACCUUAGAGAAAACGCUCAGUCUUUUCUGACCAAGUAGGUUAGCUGUGGCCUUUUUCUAUAUCCCUUAGUAAGUCAGGGCAGAUUUUCUGUUCUGAGUUAGUUUUUUUGUUUUUUAUCAAAUGCUUUUUUCUGCAUCAAUGAAAAUAAUGUUUUCCUCUUCAUUCUAUUAAUGCAUGUAGUGAAUUAUCACUUGGUGGAUUUUAUCCUUUAUUGAAAGUAGAAGAUUGAUGUCUCUACUGUUAUCCUGGAGCUGCCUGUUUCCUCUUUCAAUUCUGUCACUGUUUGCUGCAGAUUUUAUUUAUUCCUUUGACGGAGAGAGACACAGCAAGAGAGGGAGCACAAGCACGGG
Molecule: RNA transcript, 3620 nt
Organism: Lutra lutra (Eurasian river otter)
Lineage: Eukaryota; Metazoa; Chordata; Mammalia; Carnivora; Mustelidae
Gene: FBXO25
Gene name: F-box protein 25
Exons: 11
Source: RefSeq, a predicted model, not a curated record